Molecule: long non-coding RNA, 2756 nt
Filed under: Populus trichocarpa (black cottonwood)
Lineage: Eukaryota; Viridiplantae; Streptophyta; Magnoliopsida; Malpighiales; Salicaceae
Description: long non-coding RNA (PTRI_LNC000346)
Source: RNAcentral
CCUAACAAAGGAAGAAAGAAGGAAAAUGCAGUAGUGAAUAAAGUCUAUAUAUAAUUAGAGUGGUUUUAUUACUUAAUUUAUUACGUUACAGGAAGAUUAUAAUAGACAAGCAAGACUAUAAUAGAGUGCUGCUGCUGCAUUUAUUAGAGAAGGAGAUGCUGGUAAUCUCCAUUUCACAAGUUCAUUAAUCUCGAUCGAAAAUAUGGCUCAUUUAAGCAUAUACAAAGUACAUCUGGGAAAGAAAGUUAAGAACCAAGAUAGGGUCACUGAUAUUUGGAUGAUGUUCAUACGGAGAGGGAGGGAGAAAGGCUGUACUCAAGCCCCCAGAGCUCAAAACUGCCUUUGACAAAAUCAUAAUAACCACCCUUCAGUCCUAGAGUUUUGUUCACCAAGCCAUCUCUCACAAACGGGUAGGUUAGCAAGUGUCCAAGGGACACGUUCACUGCCUCCUGCAAUAUCGACUUAAACAUGUUAUUAUUAGCAAUUAAUUAAUGCCACUCGAAGUUGAUCGUAGCUAAGCGCUUGCCUUUUCACAUUGUGUACAGAGGUCUGGGAAAGGUGCAUUGGCAUGUUCUGCUAAAACCUUAGUCUUGGCAGGGUAGCAAACUUUGACCCAGUCUUCUAUGAAAUCACUGCAUAUAAAUUUCAAUCAUUAAUUGUACAAUCUAUAUGAAAAGAAACAAAUAACUCAAUGGACUUCUUAAUUAAGACGCUAGCUUAUGUACGUUGAUGUUGUUCCAUCAUAAGGGAAGGACAUGAGGCCCUUAAUUCCACCACAGGCGCUGUGUCCAAUGACCACAAUGUAUUCCACCUGCAACACUCACAUGAACACCGAUCAAACUUAAGCCUGGCUCUCCUGGCUGGUUGAAAUAUCAAAUAUGUGUGCGUGUGUGCGUGCAUUCCAUCGGUAUUCAAGCAGUCUGAGAAGUUAAUUGGCUGUCGAGGGAUCAGAAGAAUUUCAUUAUCAUGAUGGAUAAGUAGCUAGUUCACCUUCAGAUGCAAAACUGCAUACUCUACUGCUGCCCCAACUCCAGCGUACUUAGUCUGUUGCAAUAAAUACAGAAAAUUAAAUAAUUUUAUUGCUGGGGAAGAGUAAAGAUCACAGAGUAACAUGAGGGGGUGAUUACCUUAUCGUAUGGCGGGACCAUAUUCGCAACAUUGCGGAGCACAAAAGCUUCCCCUGGUUGGAAAUCAAGCACAUGGGACGGGCAAACCCGGGAAUCCGAGCAUGCAAACACCAUAAACUGUAACAUUUUGAUUACAACACAGGCAUUAAAAAUUUCUCAAGAGAACCCAACUUUUUUUUUUUUUUUUAUGAAGAGACUCGUUGGAUUUGGAUCACACACGACAUUAGAGUAAUCUUUCUUUACUAUAUAAUAACUAAAUAAACCAUCUUUACUAUUUCAUUAGGACUCAAUCCUGGUUAAUUAUAGUUACCAAUUAGCACAUGCAUGUCUAUGAUUAAGCGUGCGUGCGCACCUUGGGGCUUUGGCCUUUGGCAAGCUCGGAGUACAGUCCCGGAUUCUUGCUGCCAAACAAAAAGCACAAAAACCACUUCAAAUACAUAGCUAUUAGCUACGAACUCCUGUGUGUAUUAAGCAUGUACCAGAAGAAUUGUAAGAGAAGAAAGAGAGUGAAUAUGACAUACUCAUAUUUCUCCUUCUUGAAGUGAAUGAAGCCGGAUUUAAUCUUCUCAACAGGAUCGAAUGCCUUGGGGUCAGAAGAUGAGGCGGUUUGUAAUUCAGCUGUUAUCUGCUCCACUUUCGCAGCUGCUACAGUUUUCAGCUCUUCCUUAUCACUGCAACCGACCAUUCAACUACACAUUACUUCAUUAAUACUUUAGUUAUAAACAAGCUUGUUCUCUCCACUGCCAUUUAGCUCAUGCUUUCGCUUCCCCUUUAAUUUUUUUUCUCACGUUAAGAAAGGAGAGAUUAUCUUUUAAUUCGUUCGUACGUACACUCUGCUCGGGGAGGGAUGAAGGGAACAUAGGGAAGAAGAAGAAGGGUACAUGGGUUGGAGGAAAAUGAAAACACUGUUUUACCAUUAUUUAUUGCUACGAUAAAUAAUAAAUUUUUUUCAUUUUUACCUGAGGAGUUUCUUGAGAGAUUCAAUGGCCUCGUUGUAGUCCUUUCCCAUUUCUUCGCCUCUCUGAUAAUUCCGACCCAAAGCAUUUAGGAAUAUUAAUUUUUAAAAAAAGGUACAUGUAAAUUAUAUAAUGAAAGGGAAAAAAAAAAAAGAACAAGGCAGCCGAAGAAAGUACUUACAAUUAAGAAAUUAAAUGAAAAGAGAGUGAAGAAACCUAUUCAAAUGCAUGUUGCUAAGAUACGCAAUAAAUUAAUGCAUAUCGAAACGCAUGAAAAUAAACUGUCAAUUGAGAAGUCUUUACUACGCCAUAAAUGUUGGCAAACGAGUGAACAGAACUGAGUUUUUUCUCCCCUUCUCUUGGGUAUAUGAAAUUAUGAAUGGACAACCUUUCCUGUUGCCCUCUUACAGGAAUCUUAACUGGCUUCUAUCAUGUACAUGUAUGUAUACAUGAUGUAUAGAAGAUUUGCAUGAACUAUAUGAAUGUUUCUUGAACGUACCAGGUUGAUACAACGGAUGUUUUUCUAAGAUCAUCCGAAAAAAGAUUAAAUAUCUAGAAUUUUUGUUUUUAUUACCAUCAACCAUAUUGUGAGUCCUUUAGUUUAUGGUUUGAAAGGAUGCCUAUUAUAUUUAUAUAUACACACACACUAGUAAAUAAUAGUUAACAGUAUAUG